Molecule: ribosomal RNA, 467 nt
Filed under: uncultured bacterium
Lineage: Bacteria
Description: partial 16S ribosomal RNA
Rfam family: Bacterial small subunit ribosomal RNA
Source: RNAcentral
GACGAACGCUGGCGGCGUGCUUAACACAUGCAAGUCGAACGGAAAGGCCCUGCUUUUGUGGGGUGCUCGAGUGGCGAACGGGUGAGUAACACGUGAGUAACCUGCCCUUGACUUUGGGAUAACUUCAGGAAACUGGGGCUAAUACCGGAUAGGAGCUCCUGCUGCAUGGUGGGGGUUGGAAAGUUUCGGCGGUUGGGGAUGGACUCGCGGCUUAUCAGCUUGUUGGUGGGGUAGUGGCUUACCAAGGAUUUGACGGGUAGCCGGCCUGGGAGGGUGACCGGCCACAUUGGGACUGGGAUACGGCCCGGACUCCUACGGGAGGCAGCAGUGGGGAAUAUUGCACAAUGGGCGGAAGCCUGAUGCAGCAACGCCGCGUGCGGGAUGACGGCCUUCGGGUUGUAAACCGCUUUCGCCUGUGACGAAGCGUGAGUGACGGUAAUGGGUAAAGAAGCACCGGCUAACUACGU